GCUGGCGGCACGCCUAACACAUGCAAGUCGAACGAAGUAGCAAUACUUAGUGGCAGACGGGUGAGUAACAUGUGGGUAUCUGCCCUUUGGCCUGGAAUAACACGAGGAAACUUGUGCUAAUACCGGAUAAGUCUUUACGGAGAAAGCUUUAUGCACCAUUGGAUGAGCCCGCACUUGAUUAGUUUGUUGGUAGGGUAAUGGCCUACCAAGACUGUGAUCAAUAGCUGAUUUGAGAGGAUGAUCAGCCACAUUGGGACUGAGACACGGCCCAAACUCCUACGGGAGGCAGCAGUGGGGAAUCUUGCACAAUGGAGGAAACUCUGAUGCAGCGAUGCCGCGUGAGUGAAGAAGGCCUUUGGGUUGUAAAGCUCUUUCGUCGGGGAAGAAAAUGACUGUACCCGAAUAAGAAGGUCCGGCUAACUUCGUGCCAGCAGCCGCGGUAAUACGAAGGGACCUAGCGUAGUUCGGAAUUACUGGGCUUAAAGAGUUCGUAGGUGGUUGAAAAAGUUGGUGGUGAAAUCCCAGAGCUUAACUCUGGAACUGCCAUCAAAACUUUUCAGCUAGAGUUUGAUAGAGGAAAGCAGAAUUUCUAGUGUAGAGGUGAAAUUCGUAGAUAUUAGAAAGAAUACCAAUUGCGAAGGCAGCUUUCUGGAUCAUUACUGACACUGAGGAACGAAAGCAUGGGUAGCGAAGAGGAUUAGAUACCCUCGUAGUCCAUGCCGUAAACGAUGUGUGUUAGACGUUGGAAAUUUAUUUUCAGUGUCGCAGUGAAAGCGAUAAACACACCGCCUGGGGAGUACGAC
Molecule: ribosomal RNA, 803 nt
Filed under: uncultured Pelagibacteraceae bacterium
Lineage: Bacteria; Pseudomonadati; Pseudomonadota; Alphaproteobacteria; Candidatus Pelagibacterales; Candidatus Pelagibacteraceae
Description: bacterial SSU rRNA
Rfam family: Bacterial small subunit ribosomal RNA
Source: RNAcentral